This is a long non-coding RNA of Drosophila rhopaloa, 518 nucleotides long. RefSeq lists it as uncharacterized. The transcript is spliced from 3 exons. NCBI's taxonomy places the organism in Eukaryota, Metazoa, Arthropoda, Insecta, Diptera, Drosophilidae. The record is from RefSeq and is a predicted model, not a curated record.
CCUUGAUUAAAUUUAAUGGCACAACACGUUCGCCAGUGUGAUAUCCAUCGAGAACGGUCACCUCCUCGGCAGUUAACUCAAAAUCGAAGAUAUCGAAGUUCUCAGAAAUUCGGAGCGGAAAUGUGUUUUAUAAUGCGUAUUUGUAGAUCAAUAUAUGACUACUUUAGACCCCCCCACGUGCGUUUCAGCGAUAACACAGUGAGAGUUUUAGAAAAUCGGGAAAUGACCAAUCAAAACAAUAUCCACAAUUACAUUGAAGAACAACGACGCCAACUUCGGGAAAGAUACGAAAGACUUUGAAAUUAAAUGAAUAAUAUAAAUUAUGGUAUUCUCAGAUUCUCCGGCCCAUAUUGAAUGAUCUAAGUUGGAGCAGCUCCUCCGGCGUCAAGUGGAAAUCGAAAACAUCAAGGUUCUCGAUAAGAUGAACCUGCUGGGCAGCUUUUGGGAUCGGCACCGUGCCAAUGUCGAUCUGUGGAACGUUUGUAUUUUUGAGCUAUUAAAUAACUUCAGUUCUUUAA